CAGAGAUAGCUUGCUAUCUGCUGACGAGCGGCGGACGGGUGAGUAAUGCUUGGGAAUAUGCCUUAUGGUGGGGGACAACAGUUGGAAACGACUGCUAAUACCGCAUAACGUCUACGGACCAAAGGGGGGGAUGCUUAGGCACCUCCCGCCAUUUGAUUAGCCCAAGUGAGAUUAGCUAGUAGGUGAGGUAAGAGCUCACCUAGGCGACGAUCUCUAGCUGGUUUGAGAGGAUGAUCAGCCACACUGGGACUGAGACACGGCCCAGACUCCUACGGGAGGCAGCAGUGGGGAAUAUUGCACAAUGGGCGAAAGCCUGAUGCAGCCAUGCCGCGUGUGUGAAGAAGGCCUUCGGGUUGUAAAGCACUUUCAGCGAGGAGGAAAGGUUAGUGGUUAAUAGCCACUAGCUGUGACGUUACUCGCAGAAGAAGCACCGGCUAACUUCGUGCCAGCAGCCGCGGUAAUACGAGGGGUGCAAGCGUUAAUCGGAAUUACUGGGCGUAAAGCGUGCGUAGGUGGUUUGUUAAGCAAGAUGUGAAAGCCCUGGGCUCAACCUGGGAACUGCAUUUUGAACUGGCAAGCUAGAGUUUUGUAGAGGGUAGUGGAAUUUCCAGUGUAGCGGUGAAAUGCGUAGAGAUUGGAAG
RNAcentral lists this ribosomal RNA (641 nucleotides) under uncultured bacterium. RNAcentral's name for it is "bacterial SSU rRNA". It matches the Rfam family "Bacterial small subunit ribosomal RNA", at positions 70 to 703 of the family's 1533-position model. The record is from RNAcentral.